RNAcentral lists this ribosomal RNA (253 nucleotides) under uncultured bacterium. RNAcentral describes it as "partial 16S ribosomal RNA". It matches the Rfam family "Bacterial small subunit ribosomal RNA", at positions 524 to 776 of the family's 1533-position model. The record is from RNAcentral.
UACAGAGGUCCCGAGCGUUGUUCGGAUUCACUGGGCGUAAAGGGUGCGCAGGUGGGUUUGCAAGUUUGAUGUGAAAGCCCCGGGCUUAACCCGGGAAUGGCAUUGAAUACUGCAGAUCUGGAGGAUUGGAGGGGGGACUGGAAUUCUUGGUGUAGCAGUGAAAUGCGUAGAUAUCAAGAGGAACACCAGUGGCGAAGGCGAGUCCCUGGACCGGCAUUGACGCUGAGGAGCGAAAGCUAGGGGAGCAAACGGG